This 492-nucleotide ribosomal RNA is filed under the name uncultured bacterium. RNAcentral's name for it is "partial 16S ribosomal RNA". It matches the Rfam family "Bacterial small subunit ribosomal RNA", at positions 29 to 507 of the family's 1533-position model. The record is from RNAcentral.
AGUGAACGCUGGCGGUAGGCCUAACACAUGCAAGUCGAACGGCAGCACAGUAAGAGCUUGCUCUUACGGGUGGCGAGUGGCGGACGGGUGAGGAAUACAUCGGAAUCUACUUUUUCGUGGGGGAUAACGUAGGGAAACUUACGCUAAUACCGCAUACGACCUACGGGUGAAAGCAGGGGAUCUUCGGACCUUGCGCGAUUGAAUGAGCCGAUGUCGGAUUAGCUAGUUGGCGGGGUAAAGGACCACCAAGGCGACGAUCCGUAGCUGGUCUGAGAGGAUGGUCACCCACACUGGAACUGAGACACGGUCCAGACUCCUACGGGAGGCAGCAGUGGUGAAUAUUGGACAAUGGGCGCAAGCCUGAUCCAGCCAUACCGCGUGGGUGAAGAAGGCCUUCGGGUUGUAAAGCCCUUUUGUUGGGAAAGAAAAGCAGCAGGUUAAUACCCCGCUGUUCUGACGGUACCCAAAGAAUAAGCACCGGCUAACUUCGUG